UUGCGGCUACAUCACUUUGAAACACCGGUUCUCGUAGUUAAGCAACCUAGAGCCUGUCAGUACUUAGAUGGGUGACGGCUUGUGAAUACCAGAUGCUGUAAG
This is a non-coding RNA of Acanthosepion pharaonis, 102 nucleotides long. The record is from the annotation of a GenBank genome assembly. Lineage: Eukaryota; Metazoa; Mollusca; Cephalopoda; Sepiida; Sepiidae.